UACGGGGGGGGCAAGCGUUGUUCGGAAUUACUGGGCGUAAAGGGCUCGUAGGCGGCCAACUAAGUCAGACGUGAAAUCCCUCGGCUUAACCGGGGAACUGCGUCUGAUACUGGAUGGCUUGAGUUUGGGAGAGGGAUGCGGAAUUCCAGGUGUAGCGGUGAAAUGCGCAGAUAUCAGGAGGAACACCAGUGGCGAAGGCGGUGCUCUGGGCCGGAACUGACGCUGAGGAGCGAAAGCGUGGGGAGCAAACAGG
Molecule: ribosomal RNA, 253 nt
Filed under: uncultured bacterium
Lineage: Bacteria
Description: partial 16S ribosomal RNA
Rfam family: Bacterial small subunit ribosomal RNA
Source: RNAcentral